AAAUUGAAGAGUUUGAUCAUGGCUCAGAUUGAACGCUGGCGGCAGGCCUAACACAUGCAAGUCGAACGGUAACAGGAAGAAGCUUGCUUCUUUGCUGACGAGUGGCGGACGGGUGAGUAAUGUCUGGGAAACUGCCUGAUGGAGGGGGAUAACUACUGGAAACGGUAGCUAAUACCGCAUAACGUCGCAAGACCAAAGAGGGGGACCUUCGGGCCUCUUGCCAUCGGAUGUGCCCAGAUGGGAUUAGCUAGUAGGUGGGGUAACGGCUCACCUAGGCGACGAUCCCUAGCUGGUCUGAGAGGAUGACCAGCCACACUGGAACUGAGACACGGUCCAGACUCCUACGGGAGGCAGCAGUGGGGAAUAUUGCACAAUGGGCGCAAGCCUGAUGCAGCCAUGCCGCGUGUAUGAAGAAGGCCUUCGGGUUGUAAAGUACUUUCAGCGGGG
RNAcentral lists this ribosomal RNA (447 nucleotides) under Escherichia coli. Its description in RNAcentral is "bacterial SSU rRNA". It matches the Rfam family "Bacterial small subunit ribosomal RNA", at positions 1 to 444 of the family's 1533-position model. The record is from RNAcentral. Lineage: Bacteria; Pseudomonadati; Pseudomonadota; Gammaproteobacteria; Enterobacterales; Enterobacteriaceae.